CACAAUGAUGAAUCGACAUAUAUAAAAGACAAGCAUAUGUCCAAGUCGGCUUCGCUGACCAAGACGAUAAUUGUCAUGACUGAU
Molecule: small nucleolar RNA, 84 nt
Filed under: Aspergillus fumigatus Af293
Lineage: Eukaryota; Fungi; Ascomycota; Eurotiomycetes; Eurotiales; Aspergillaceae
Description: Aspergillus fumigatus snoRNA Afu4g11317
Source: RNAcentral